GAUGAACGCUGGCGGCGCGCCUAAUACAUGCAAGUCGAGCGAACGGACGAGAAGCUUGCUGCUCUGAUGUUAGCGGCGGACGGGUGAGUAACACGUGGAUAACCUACCUAUAAGACUGGGAUAACUUCGGGAAACCGUAGCUAAUACCGGAUAAUAUUUUGAACCGCAUGGUUCAAAAGUGAAAGACGGUCUUGCUGUCACUUAUAGAUGGAUCCGCGCUGCAUUAGCUAGUUGGUAAGGUAACGGCUUACCAAGGCAACGAUGCAUAGCCGACCUGGGAGGGUGAUCGGCCACACUGGAACUGAGACACGGUCCAGACUCCUACGGGAGGCAGCAGUAGGGAAUCUUCCGCAAUGGGCGAAAGCCUGAUGGAGCAACGCCGCGUGAGUGAUGAAGGUCUUCGGAUCGUAAAACUCUGUUAUUAGGGAAGAACAUAUGUGUAAGUAACUGUGCACAUCUUGACGGUACCUAAUCAGAAAGCCACGGCUAACUACGUG
Molecule: ribosomal RNA, 497 nt
Filed under: uncultured bacterium
Lineage: Bacteria
Description: partial 16S ribosomal RNA
Rfam family: Bacterial small subunit ribosomal RNA
Source: RNAcentral